CCUACGGGAGGCAGCAGUGGGGAAUAUUGCACAAUGGACGAAAGUCUGAUCCAGCAACGCCGCGUGGAGGAUGACACAUUUCGGUGCGUAAACUCCUUUUAUAUAGGAAGAUAAUGACGGUACUAUAUGAAUAAGCACCGGCUAACUCCGUGCCAGCAGCCGCGGUAAU
Molecule: ribosomal RNA, 169 nt
Filed under: uncultured bacterium
Lineage: Bacteria
Description: partial 16S ribosomal RNA
Rfam family: Bacterial small subunit ribosomal RNA
Source: RNAcentral